This 328-nucleotide unclassified non-coding RNA is filed under the name Pseudovibrio axinellae. RNAcentral describes it as "Long range pseudoknot". The record is from RNAcentral. Lineage: Bacteria; Pseudomonadati; Pseudomonadota; Alphaproteobacteria; Hyphomicrobiales; Stappiaceae.
AUCGACACUCAUGACUAUGAAGUGAAGAUGAAGAACAUGCUGCGCUUCUUUGAUGAUGGUGAUAAAGUGAAGGUAACUCUUCGCUUCCGUGGCCGUGAAAUGGCUCACCAGGAUCUCGGAAUGAAACUACUUCUGAAAGUCAAAGCAGAGACUGCGGACAUCGCUAAAGUCGAGUCCCAUCCUAAGCUUGAAGGACGGCAGAUGAUGAUGGUGCUUGCACCUAUUUCUCGUUAAUAGGAUCAGGUUGAAGGGCUCCAGCGAUUUGUCUGUGUAGGUACUCAACCGAAGCUCCGAAAACUCUGAAAAUACCCGGUACACUAGUGCCGGG